GAUUUCACCCCCAAAUCUCGGAGAUUUUCCCCCAAACUGUGGGGAUUUAAUUCCCAAAUCUGUGGGGUUUCAGCCCCAAAUUUCCAGGAUUUUCCCCCAAAACCUCUGAAAUUUCAGCCCCAAAUUUUCUGGGAUUUGUCCCCAAAUCCCCCAGGAUUUCACCCCCAAAUCUCGGAGGUUUUUCCCUAAAACUGUGGAGAUUUAAUUCCCAAAUCUCUGAAAUUUCAGCCCCAAAUUUUUUGGGAUUUGUCCCUAAAACUGCUGAGAUUUCACCCCCAAAUUUCCAGGAUUUUCCCCCAAAAGCCUCCAAAAUUUCACCCCCAAAUUUCUNGACACAGGGGGGUUUGGGAUUGGGGGUCAGGAUUGGAGUGGUAUUGGGAUGGGAUCGGGACUGGGGUUAGGAUGGGAUUGGGAUGGGAUCAGGAUUGGGAUUGGGAUGGGAUCGGUGCCCGUGCUGGGCAGGACGCAGAGCAGCGAGUCGGCCUACGUGUGAUGGGAUUGGGGUCAGAUUGGGGUGGGAUUGGAGCUGGUGCUGGGCAGGAUGCAGAGCAGGGAGUCGGCCUGUGUGUGAUGGGGAUGGGAUUGGGGUCAGGAUGGGAUUGGGAUUGGGAUUGGAGCUGGUGCUGGGCAGGACGCAGAGCAGCGAGUCGGCCUGUGUGUGAUGGGAUUGGGAUUGGGGGUCAGGAUUGGGAUUGGAAUGGGAUUGGAGCUGGUGCUGGGCAGGAUGCAGAGCAGCGAACGGGCCAAUGGUGAUGGGAUUUGGGUUUCGGGUCAGGAUUGGGAUUUGGGAUGGAUGAGAUUGGUGCCAGUGCUGGGCAGGAC
RNAcentral lists this long non-coding RNA (822 nucleotides) under Zonotrichia albicollis (white-throated sparrow). RNAcentral's name for it is "lncRNA (ENSZALG00000007171.1)". Lineage: Eukaryota; Metazoa; Chordata; Aves; Passeriformes; Passerellidae. The record is from RNAcentral.